AACAAGGGCGCACGGUGGAUGCCUUGACACCAAAAGACGAAGAAGGACGUUGUAGGGUGCGAUAAGCCUCGGGGAGCUCCCAAACAAGCGGUGAUCCGGGGAUGUCCGAAUGGGGAAACCCACUCCGACGCAAGUCGGGGAAUCGUACACUGAAUCCAUAGGUGUAUGAAGAAGACCUAGCGAAGUGAAACAUCUCAGUAGCUAGAGGAAAAUAAAUCGAAGAGAUUCCCCCAGUAGUGGCGAGCGAAAAGGGAACAGCCUAAACCUUAUAUUUGUUGCUAUCGUAAGAGGUUGAUCGCAAGAUUGAUUUUGAACGGUAGCUUAAAGGACAGACCGUUGAAUAUAAGGUGUUGCAAGAUAGAUAUGCCGGUUUUCUGUAGGCCGGGUGAGUACAGGUUAUUUUUUAGCGGAAUUGUUCUGGAACGAACAACCACAGAUGGUAAUAGUCCAGUACGCGAAAAAAAAUAACCUAUCAUAGUGUCUAUUCUUAAGUAGGGCGGAACUCGUGAAAUUCCGUCUGAACCCAGGCCGACUAUGGUCUAAGGCUAAAUACUUUUGGUGAUCGAUAGUGGACAAGUACCACGAGGGAAAGGUGAAAAGCAGCCCGGGAGGGCGAUGAAAUAGUAUCUGAAACCGUGUGCUUACAAAGAGCGGGAGUCCUGGAUGUCGCAAGAUGUUCGGAUGACCGUGUUCCUAUUGAAGAAUGAGCCUGCGAGUAUGCUGUAUGUCGUUGCUUAAACCCCUCUGGGGUGGAGGCGUAGCGAAAGCGAGUCUUAACGGGCGAAUAUAAUGGCAUGCACAUAACCCGAAACCGGGUGAGCUAUCCAUGACCAGGAUGAGCCCUUUCGAAAGCGGUGAUAGCUGGUUCUCCUCGAAAUAGUUCUAGGACUAGCCUCGAGAAUUCCUUGCGGUGGUAGAGCACUGGAUGAGAAUUGGGUCCUUCGGGAUACCGUUUUCAAUCAAACUCCGAAUACCGCAAGUCACAUCUCGGGAGUCAGACAGUGACGGCUAAGCGCCAUUGUCAAAAGGGAAACAGCCCAUGAUCGCUAGCUAAGGCCCCUAAAUCCAGAUUAAGUGUAAAAGGUGGUGUUAACUCUUAUACAACCAGGAGGUUGGCUUAGAAGCAGCCAUCCUUUAAAGAAAGCGUAACAGCUCACUGGUCAAGAGUU
Molecule: ribosomal RNA, 1169 nt
Filed under: Candidatus Kaiserbacteria bacterium GW2011_GWA2_49_19
Lineage: Bacteria; Candidatus Kaiseribacteriota
Description: bacterial LSU rRNA
Rfam family: Bacterial large subunit ribosomal RNA
Source: RNAcentral